This 274-nucleotide ribosomal RNA is filed under the name uncultured bacterium. RNAcentral's name for it is "partial 16S ribosomal RNA". It matches the Rfam family "Bacterial small subunit ribosomal RNA", at positions 523 to 796 of the family's 1533-position model. The record is from RNAcentral.
AUACGGAGGGGGCUAGCGUUGUUCGGAAUUACUGGGCGUAAAGCGCACGUAGGCGGUUUAUCAAGUUAGGCGUGAAAGCCCCAGGCUCAACCUGGGAACUGCGUUUAAUACUGAUAAACUAGAGACCGGGAGAGGGUGGCGGAAUUCCCAGUGUAGAGGUGAAAUUCGUAGAUAUUGGGAAGAACACCGGUUGCGAAGGCGGCCACCUGGACCGGAACUGACGCUGAGGUGCGAAAGCGUGGGGAGCAAACAGGAUUAGAUACCCGAGUAGUCC